AACGAACGCUGGUAGCGUGGAUAGGCAUGCAAGUCGAACGGGAUCCGGAAGGCAGCAAUGUCGGCCGGUGAGAGUGGCGGAAGGGCGAGGAACACGUGGGCAACCUGUCUUGAGGUGGGGAAAACCUCGGGAAACUGAGGCUAAUACCGAAUGUGGCGCGGAAGGGCAUCCUUCCUGCGCUAAAGGGGGCGAAAGCUCCCCCUCUUCGAGGGGCUCGCGCACCAUCAGCUAGUUGGCGGGUAACGGCCCACCAAGGCUCACGGUUAGCUGGUCUGAGAGGAUGGCCAGCCGCACUGGGACUGAGAUACUGCCCAGACUCCUACGGGAGGCUGCAGUCGAGGAUCAUUCGCAAUGGGCGAAAGCCUGACGAUGCGACGCUGCGUGGAGGAAUGAAGGCCUUCGGGUUGUAAACUCCUGUCAUGAGGGAAAAGGAGACCCUGCCCAAUACGCAGGGGAUUUGAUGGUACCUCAAGAGGAAGGGACGGCUAACUCUGUGCCAGCCGCGGC
This 507-nucleotide ribosomal RNA is filed under the name uncultured bacterium. Its description in RNAcentral is "bacterial SSU rRNA". It matches the Rfam family "Bacterial small subunit ribosomal RNA", at positions 29 to 518 of the family's 1533-position model. The record is from RNAcentral.